Molecule: long non-coding RNA, 1255 nt
Organism: Chinchilla lanigera (long-tailed chinchilla)
Lineage: Eukaryota; Metazoa; Chordata; Mammalia; Rodentia; Chinchillidae
Exons: 5
Source: RefSeq, a predicted model, not a curated record
UGGGAAAAUUUUUCUAUGAAAUUGAAGUCUUAGCUUUCAAAGGAACUUUCAAAAUAAAACCCAGUCUAGCCUGAGCCCUGCUUAUACGACUUAUAUCAGAUAUUUUCUUAGGAUGUUAUAUAAUUGAAAUCAUUCAAUAAGUAAAUCAACCUCAGUAGUCAUGCUUAUAAAAUUCUACAAAGCUGUCAAAUUAGUACAAAAUGUAGUUGUUUUCUUUCUAAACCAAGAAUGGUCUCUAUCCUAAGGUGCCGUAUCUAGCAGUGGUGGCGAAGCUAUGGCGCACGUGCCGCAGUGGGCUGUUUGUGCCGUUGAAAGCGCUAAAAGAGUUUGAAGUCACGGUUAUAGAGGCUGCCAUGUUUGUCUGAGCAACUGACUCGUGCAACUCCAUCUAAGCUUUGGACCUACUUUCAUCCCGAGGACAUUGUUCUGCCCUUCUGUAUGCACACCUCUUACACUUGAGGAACUCUGUGCCUGGAGAUUGAAGAUGCUGGAGAACCAUAAUGAGCCCAGAGUAUUUCCAGGAAUGAGCUAACAAAGGCAAGCCAUGGCACUUCUGGGUUAAUCUUUCGAGCUUUUCAUCCUCUUUAAAAGGAUGGAGUGACUGCCGUGCUUGGAGAUUCGUGACUUCACAACUCAAGCCAAAGAAGUUGCUCCUGAAUGUGGGUCUACUCACUGUGUCAACCCUAGAGAAAUGCUGGGAAUCUGAAAAAAGUCAUUUAAACUUCAUGUUUUUCAGGAUCCAAUUAAAAUGAUCAAUUACAUUAAAAUAUGUCUCCUUAACUCAUCCAUUCACAGAGGUCUAUGAGGAAAUGGAUUCAGAGUACCAGCAUCUUCUCUUACACACAAAACUGAGAUGGCUUUCUAAAGGAAGAUUACUGGCCAGAGCUUUUGAGCUACAAGAGCCGCUCCAGAGAUGUCUUUUAGAAAAACAGUCACCACUGGCAGCAUAUUUCAGUGACACCGAAUGGGUCACAAAACUUGCUUACUUGUGUGACAUAUUUACACGAGUACCUAUUCUGCCUAUGUGUUAUAACGCUAGAGAAUACCUUGAAGUACAAAUACACGUAGAAAGGACAUGCAGAUGUUCAUGUUCCAGGCCAGUACUGACCAGCUGAGAUACAGCCUGAACCACAGAUGGAAACCACAUAGGUUUUUCUUUAUCAUUCUAUUGUAAAAGAACCAAAAAGAAUUCUGAGUGAGAUGAUGGUGGUGAUGUAGUUGUGAAUCUUCUCAGAUCUCCACUGACAAAAGGUAA